Molecule: ribosomal RNA, 253 nt
Filed under: uncultured bacterium
Lineage: Bacteria
Description: partial 16S ribosomal RNA
Rfam family: Bacterial small subunit ribosomal RNA
Source: RNAcentral
GACGUAGGGGGCAAGCGUUGUCCGGAAUUAUUGGGCGUAAAGCGCUCGUAGGCGGAUCGGUAAGUCUGUGAAGAAAGACCCGGGCUCAACUCGGGGAACGGCAUAGAUACUGCUGAUCUUGAGACAGUCAGAGGAUGAUGGAAUUCCCGGUGUAGCGGUGAAAUGCGCAGAUAUCGGGAAGAACACCCGUGGCGAAGGCGGCUCUCUGGGACGGUACUGACGCUGAGACGCGAAAGCGUGGGGAGCGAACAGG